RNAcentral lists this ribosomal RNA (623 nucleotides) under Thekopsora sp. 3 JJ-2018. RNAcentral describes it as "partial 28S ribosomal RNA". It matches the Rfam family "Eukaryotic large subunit ribosomal RNA", at positions 49 to 653 of the family's 3401-position model. Lineage: Eukaryota; Fungi; Basidiomycota; Pucciniomycetes; Pucciniales; Coleosporiaceae. The record is from RNAcentral.
AACGGAGGAAAAGAAACUAACAAGGAUUCCCCUAGUAACGGCGAGUGAAGAGGGAAAAGCCCAAAUUUGUAAUCUGGCUCUUUUAUAAGGGUCCGAGUUGUAAUUUUGAGAACUGUUUUCUGUGCUGGACCAUGUACAAGUCUGUUGAAAAACAGCAUCAUUGAGGGUGAUAAUCCCGUACGUGAUAUGGACUACCAGGGCAAUAUGAUACAGUCUCUAAGAGUCGAGUUGUUUGGGAAUGCAGCUCAAAGUGGGUGGUAAAUUCCAUCUAAGGCUAAAUAUAGGUGAGAGACCGAUAGCAAACAAGUACCGUGAGGGAAAGAUGAAAAGAACUUUGGAAAGAGAGUUAACAGUACGUGAAAUUGUUAAAAGGGAAACAUUUGAAGUUAGACUUGUUAUUGUUGGUUCAGCUUCUUUAUUGAGGUGUAUUCUGAUGAUUAACAGACCAGCAUCAAUUUUUGGGUGUUGGAUAAGGGUUUUGGGAAUGUGGCAGCUUCGGUUGUGUUAUAGACCAUUACUUUGAUACAAUGCUUAGGAUUGAGGAACGCAGUAAGCUUUGUUGCAGAUUUUUUCGGAAGUCUCCUUACUACGGAUGUUGGUGCAAUAGCUUUAAAUGACCCGUC